This 810-nucleotide ribosomal RNA is filed under the name Rathayibacter sp. RNAcentral's name for it is "bacterial SSU rRNA". It matches the Rfam family "Bacterial small subunit ribosomal RNA", at positions 63 to 883 of the family's 1533-position model. Lineage: Bacteria; Bacillati; Actinomycetota; Actinomycetes; Micrococcales; Microbacteriaceae. The record is from RNAcentral.
CGAACGGUGAUGCAGAGCUUGCUCUGCUGAUCAGUGGCGAACGGGUGAGUAACACGUGAGUAACCUGCCCUUGACUCUGGGAUAAGCGCUGGAAACGGCGUCUAAUACCGGAUACGACCUUCCCCGGCAUCGGGUGGGGGUGGAAAGAUUUUUUGGUCAAGGAUGGACUCGCGGCCUAUCAGCUUGUUGGUGAGGUAAUGGCUCACCAAGGCGACGACGGGUAGCCGGCCUGAGAGGGUGACCGGCCACACUGGGACUGAGACACGGCCCAGACUCCUACGGGAGGCAGCAGUGGGGAAUAUUGCACAAUGGGCGAAAGCCUGAUGCAGCAACGCCGCGUGAGGGAUGACGGCCUUCGGGUUGUAAACCUCUUUUGGCAGGGAAGAAGCGAAAGUGACGGUACCUGCAGAAAAAGCACCGGCUAACUACGUGCCAGCAGCCGCGGUAAUACGUAGGGUGCGAGCGUUGUCCGGAAUUAUUGGGCGUAAAGAGCUCGUAGGCGGUUUGUCGCGUCUGCUGUGAAAUCCCGAGGCUCAACCUCGGGCCUGCAGUGGGUACGGGCAAACUAGAGUGCAGUAGGGGAGACUGGAAUUCCUGGUGUAGCGGUGGAAUGCGCAGAUAUCAGGAGGAACACCGAUGGCGAAGGCAGGUCUCUGGGCUGUAACUGACGCUGAGGAGCGAAAGCGUGGGGAGCGAACAGGAUUAGAUACCCUGGUAGUCCACGCCGUAAACGUUGGGCGCUAGAUGUGGGGACCAUUCCACGGUUUCCGUGUCGCAGCUAACGCAUUAAGCGCCCCGCCUGGGGAGUAC